AGGACUGUACUUUAAAGGAUCAUUUCUAUAGUUUGUUACUAAAUAAGUUUCUCUAGACAUUAAAGCAAAAAAU
RNAcentral lists this small nucleolar RNA (73 nucleotides) under Callithrix jacchus (white-tufted-ear marmoset). RNAcentral describes it as "Small nucleolar RNA U3 (ENSCJAG00000066710.2)". It matches the Rfam family "Small nucleolar RNA U3", at positions 1 to 76 of the family's 219-position model. From Rfam's summary of the family: Small nucleolar RNAs (snoRNAs) are involved in the processing and modification of rRNA in the nucleolus. There are two main classes of snoRNAs: the box C/D class, and the box H/ACA class. U3 snoRNA is a member of the box C/D class. Lineage: Eukaryota; Metazoa; Chordata; Mammalia; Primates; Cebidae. The record is from Rfam by way of RNAcentral.